Panicum virgatum (switchgrass) is the source of this 366-nucleotide long non-coding RNA. RefSeq lists it as uncharacterized. The transcript is spliced from 3 exons. The record is from RefSeq and is a predicted model, not a curated record. NCBI's taxonomy places the organism in Eukaryota, Viridiplantae, Streptophyta, Magnoliopsida, Poales, Poaceae.
CAUAAGCCUAAAGAAUUAGAUAUUGUUGAAUGGCACUAUCUGUUGAAGUAUUUUAGGACUGCAAAAUUCCAGGCAAAGAGCAUACAAAAUUCUAGGAUUCGAGCCCAACAAAGGACUAGACAUUUGUCAGGUUCUAAGCCUUAUGCUCAGCGCAGCUAUGAGAAGAGACCCAGAAACUGGUGAUGAGCCCAAUAAUAUGGAACUUUGGUUCAUAACUCACACAAAGGAUGGGCACUGGAAAGACCAAGAAUCUAGGGAUGACUACGUGAGUUCUCACUAAAUUUGUACAUACAUUACUAUAUAUAGUCCAUGCAAAUAUAGAAUGCAUGCAAUUUCUUGUUCAACUAACUCCUCCAUCUGUGCCUU